Molecule: unclassified non-coding RNA, 312 nt
Filed under: Hevea brasiliensis (rubber tree)
Lineage: Eukaryota; Viridiplantae; Streptophyta; Magnoliopsida; Malpighiales; Euphorbiaceae
Source: RNAcentral
AAACUUGAAUCCUGAUAAAAUUUAUGAACUAGUCCAGGGGAUUGGUGUAAAAUGUGGUAAUACUGCUCCACAAAGGCAUUGCCCACAACUUCGGCACUUGGAGCAGGAGUUGUUUCCUGCAUUGCCAUCUGAUUUGUUGGUGUUUGAUUUUGGUUUUUGGAGAUAGAGAUUAGGGAGAUCUACUAGGAGGAUUAAUAAGAAGAAGAAGAAGAAAGAAGAUAGAAAGUAUGCGUACGAAUCAAGGGAAGAGAAAGGAAAGGACGAAGCAAAGAUACACUUUGUAUGUGUGUGUGUGUGUGUGAGAGAGAGAGA